RNAcentral lists this ribosomal RNA (420 nucleotides) under uncultured bacterium. Its description in RNAcentral is "bacterial SSU rRNA". It matches the Rfam family "Bacterial small subunit ribosomal RNA", at positions 355 to 774 of the family's 1533-position model. The record is from RNAcentral.
UAAGGAAUAUUGCUCAAUGGGAGAAAUCCUGAAGCAGCAACGCCGCGUGGAGGAUGAAGGGUCUAUGACUUGUAAACUCCUGUAAAGAAGGAAAAAAUUCCCAUUAGAUGGGAGAUGAUGGUACUUCUGGAGUAAGCCCCGGCUAACUACGUGCCAGCAGCCGCGGUAAUACGUAGGGGGCAAGCGUUGUCCGGAUUUACUGGGUGUAAAGGGUGCUCAGGCGGAUUUGUAAGUCAGAGGUGAAAUCCUACAGCUUAACUGUAGAACUGCCUUUGAUACUUUUAUUCUUGAGUUCGGGAGAGAGAGACGGAAUUCCAGGUGUAGUGGUGAAAUACGUAGAUAUCUGGAAGAACACCAGUUGCGAAGGCGGUCUCUUGGUCCGACACUGACGCUGAGGCGCGAAAGCGUGGGGAGCAAACA